This 452-nucleotide ribosomal RNA is filed under the name Aeromonas sp. AE117. RNAcentral describes it as "bacterial SSU rRNA". It matches the Rfam family "Bacterial small subunit ribosomal RNA", at positions 30 to 476 of the family's 1533-position model. Lineage: Bacteria; Pseudomonadati; Pseudomonadota; Gammaproteobacteria; Aeromonadales; Aeromonadaceae. The record is from RNAcentral.
AUUGAACGCUGGCGGCAGGCCUAACACAUGCAAGUCGAGCGGCAGCGGGAAAGUAGCUUGCUACUUUUGCCGGCGAGCGGCGGACGGGUGAGUAAUGCCUGGGGAUCUGCCCAGUCGAGGGGGAUAACAGUUGGAAACGACUGCUAAUACCGCAUACGCCCUACGGGGGAAAGGAGGGGACCUUCGGGCCUUUCGCGAUUGGAUGAACCCAGGUGGGAUUAGCUAGUUGGUGGGGUAAUGGCUCACCAAGGCGACGAUCCCUAGCUGGUCUGAGAGGAUGAUCAGCCACACUGGAACUGAGACACGGUCCAGACUCCUACGGGAGGCAGCAGUGGGGAAUAUUGCACAAUGGGGGAAACCCUGAUGCAGCCAUGCCGCGUGUGUGAAGAAGGCCUUCGGGUUGUAAAGCACUUUCAGCGAGGAGGAAAGGUUGGUAGCUAAUAUCUGUCAGC